This 329-nucleotide ribosomal RNA is filed under the name uncultured Eubacteriales bacterium. RNAcentral's name for it is "bacterial SSU rRNA". It matches the Rfam family "Bacterial small subunit ribosomal RNA", at positions 1051 to 1382 of the family's 1533-position model. The record is from RNAcentral. Lineage: Bacteria; Bacillati; Bacillota; Clostridia; Eubacteriales.
GUCGUCAGCUCGUGUCGUGAGAUGUUGGGUUAAGUCCCGCAACGAGCGCAACCCCUAUCUUUAGUUGCCAUCAUUGAGUUGGGCACUCUAAAGAGACUGCCGGUGUCAAACCGGAGGAAGGUGGGAUGACGUCAAGUCCUCAUGGCCUUUAUGCCCAGGGCUACACACGUGCUACAAUGGGUGGUACAGACGGACGCAAAGCCGCGAGGUGGAGCAAAUCCUAAAAAGCCGGUCUCAGUUCGGAUUGCAGGCUGCAAUUCGCCUGCAUGAAGUCGGAAUCGCUAGUAAUCGCAGGUCAGCAUACUGCGGUGAAUACGUUCCCGGGCCUU